GGAGCUGCAGACUCAGGUGAAGUUAACG
RNAcentral lists this non-coding RNA (28 nucleotides) under Cricetulus griseus (Chinese hamster). Lineage: Eukaryota; Metazoa; Chordata; Mammalia; Rodentia; Cricetidae. The record is from RNAcentral.